UCGUUCUUUGCCUAGCUACUAGAAUGCCUGUGCAGAUAAUGCUAGGAAGACUGGAGCUGCGGACCACGGUGAUAACAGAAAUAACUCAGUGCCAGCAAGCAGGAGUGAAGUGCAUUUCAGACCCCAGACUUAGAAAUUCUCUCCUUUAGCUUCCUCCCUUCCUCACUACCUUUGCUUCUGUGGCUGGGUGGACUCAGCUUUACUCAUGGACCCGAAUAAAGCUUUUCAGAGUCUACUUAUGUUCCCAGACGCAGCCACCAGGGGGCAGUGGAGCUCACUGCAGCACCAGGAGCAGCCUUUAGUUGAAACUUCCGAGGCAGGGGAACCAUUCUUUGAGUCCCCAGACUUCUCUCAGAAUGGGAGGCUUGUGCCUUGGUUUCAGGUCAGCCAGUUUCCAUAAUCCCCUAGAAACCACACAGCCUCUACAAGCUUAACAGCGCUGCUGUGCUCUGCAUUUUCACGUGUUGGGUUGGCAUGGGCAGCCCAGAGAGGUUGAAUCACCGAACUGAAACCACACAGCUAUGAAAGUGACAUAGCUCUCGACAGGGUUAUGUAAUCUCAUGGAACCUUCUUAAUGCUUCAUCUCAAGUAGCCCCGUUCUCCCUUGGGAAGGAUGCUCCAUUCCUGAUCCCUACCCUCACCUUUGUCAGAAUCUCUUGGGGGAAAGACAUUCAUGCUUGGAAUUUGACGGCUUGAAGAAGCUCUCAGGUGAUUCUGCAAAUAUUUACCAAGUGAACAGGAAUGCCGUUCUGAUGGGAAAACCUGACCUGAGUCAUCUCAUGACGUGCAUUUCCUUUUGUCUCCCUUUACUACCUGCUGCCUCCUGGAUUCGGCAAAAAUUGCAGCUUCCAAACCACUCUGG
This 862-nucleotide long non-coding RNA is filed under the name Mus musculus (house mouse). RNAcentral describes it as "long non-coding RNA chr18:26015033-26015895". Lineage: Eukaryota; Metazoa; Chordata; Mammalia; Rodentia; Muridae. The record is from RNAcentral.